CCGAACCGACUAAUGUUGAAAAAUUAGCGGAUGACCUGUGGCUGGGGGUGAAAGGCCAAUCAAACCGGGAGAUAGCUGGUUCUCCCCGAAAGCUAUUUAGGUAGCGCCUCGUGAAUUCAUCUCCGGGGGUAGAGCACUGUUUCGGCUAGGGGGCCAUCCCGGCUUACCAACCCGAUGCAAACUGCGAAUACCGGAGAAUGUUAUCACGGGAGACACACGGCGGGUGCUAACGUCCGUCGUGAAGAGGGAAACAACCCAGACCGCCAGCUAAGGUCCCAAAGUCAUGGUUAAGUGGGAAACGAUGUGGGAAGGCCCAGACAGCCAGGAUGUUGGCUUAGAAGCAGCCAUCAUUUAAAGAAAGCGUAAUAGCUCACUGGUCGAGUCGGCCUGCGCGGAAGAUGUAACGGGGCUAAACCAUG
RNAcentral lists this ribosomal RNA (419 nucleotides) under Salmonella enterica. Its description in RNAcentral is "bacterial LSU rRNA". It matches the Rfam family "Bacterial large subunit ribosomal RNA", at positions 774 to 1191 of the family's 2925-position model. Lineage: Bacteria; Pseudomonadati; Pseudomonadota; Gammaproteobacteria; Enterobacterales; Enterobacteriaceae. RNAcentral also lists the same sequence under 4 other names. The record is from RNAcentral.